RNAcentral lists this transfer RNA (77 nucleotides) under Candidatus Zhuqueibacterota bacterium 4484_87. RNAcentral's name for it is "candidate division KSB1 bacterium 4484_87 tRNA-Arg". It matches the Rfam family "tRNA". From Rfam's summary of the family: Transfer RNA (tRNA) molecules are approximately 80 nucleotides in length. Their secondary structure includes four short double-helical elements and three loops (D, anti-codon, and T loops). Further hydrogen bonds mediate the characteristic L-shaped molecular structure. tRNAs have two regions of fundamental functional importance: the anti-codon, which is responsible for specific mRNA codon recognition, and the 3' end, to which the tRNAs corresponding amino acid is attached (by aminoacyl-tRNA synthetases). tRNAs cope with the degeneracy of the genetic code in two manners: having more than one tRNA (with a specific anti-codon) for a particular amino acid; and 'wobble' base-pairing, i.e. permitting non-standard base-pairing at the 3rd anti-codon position. Lineage: Bacteria; Pseudomonadati. The record is from RNAcentral.
GCGCCCGUAGCUCAAUUGGAUAGAGCAUCUGACUUCGGAUCAGAGGGUUAGGGGUUCGAGUCCCUUCGGGCGUACGA